RNAcentral lists this long non-coding RNA (291 nucleotides) under Homo sapiens (human). RNAcentral describes it as "non-protein coding LINC00302:2". The record is from RNAcentral. Lineage: Eukaryota; Metazoa; Chordata; Mammalia; Primates; Hominidae.
GCCUGCUCCACACCUGGGUCUGACCAGGGUGAGUGGAUCUUUUGGAACCUAGACAGAGCACAACUGAAAGGGUUGACUGAACUCCCACAAAGAUGUCCUCCUGCACCAGUCUCAUGCAUCUCGUUCAUCAGUGCCUUUCAUACCUUCAAGAGCUCUUGCCUCAGAGCAUUGCUAUGCCUGAGGUGUGUCUCAGAAGCAGCCAUUGGCACAGUGGCUUGGGGCUGGGCUCAAAAAUUUGCUCUCUUGAAGUUUGGAUGUGAUUGCUCUGAACAAGCUGCUUUGCCACAAUAA